CCGUUUUAUCCCCGUCUCAUCACAACUGUUGGAUUCUUUUGAUCCAACGGUUCGGAACUAGGCGAAAUAUAACUGUCUGAAAGCCCUCCACUCCCCUUGUUUGAACCCUAACCCUAAACUUCGUCCCCCUCAAACAAACCCUAGAGAUGCCACCCCAAAAACGCAUGCCGUCUCCGCCAUCAACUACUCGCCGGAAAUUACCUACGACGGCGGAGACACUCCAAACACCACCAAAUUAACACCACUUAGUCUCAUCUCCCUCCUCUUUUCAAAUAUCCUAACCUUUUUUCCCAAAUUCCCAUCAAAUCCUUAGAAUGUUAAAUCUAAAAUCAGAACUUCCAAAACCCUAAAUCACCUAAAUGACCUCAAACUCAUACCAUGCAAUCCUUCUCUCCUUCUCUUCCCAAAUCUUCCUAUGUUUCCUCUCAAAUCAGCCCCAAUUUUGUUGAAUUCUAAAUUUAGGAUCCCAGAAAAAACCCUAAAUUUUCCUUCCUUCUUUUCUUGGUCAGUAUGUGGUCAAGUGAACCCCAAACAUUUAUUAGUCGAUUGUUCCUUAUCAAGGACAAUCCAUUUAUGUUAGUUAAGGUUCAUUUGAAGAAAUUGGUCGAAUGUUUUGUUGGAUCCAGAGUGAAUAUAGAUAAUUUUCUUUUGAUUUAAUUUUAUUUUUGUUUUCUCUGUUCUUUUCCUCAUCCUUCACUUUGGUGUUCUUAUUUUCCAUCCAGUAUUACCCUUCUGUUUGUUCGUGUCAAUUCGAAAUUCCCCAUGCAUCUCUGUUUCUUUUAGUAGUCAUCAUUGGUUAAGUUUAAUUUUAUUUGAAUCUUUUUGUUAACUAAUUAAGUUCAGAAAUUUAAUUUGGUUUGGCUAGGCUAAUUAAUGGUGUUUUUGUUUGUUUGCUGGAUUGAGUUUAGUUUUCAUAAGCAUUUUCUGUGUUAGCUUGCAUGAAUUAGUUGGGUUAAUUGUAUUUUUUUAUGAUUAGUGUUAAAUAAAUAUUGUUUAUAUUUUUGUUUCAUUUUUAUUCCAAUAUAUUAGCAAAAGAACUUAGGUCUAGUUAAAAGCUUAAUUGAAUCAGAAUUUUGGUCCGUUUGAUUUGCCCCUGUUUUUAAUCCGAGUUUUUGUUUUGUUUGCCUCAGUUUGUAAUUUUUAGGUGUUUAGUUGAAUAAAUAAAAAAAACUUAAGGGGAUUGGGAGGGGUAGGAAACAAGAUUUUUUGAGAUAAGGCUAAUAUAAGAAGUUUUUAGAACCUGGGGCAGCUGUCCCUAUUUGGUUAGCAUAAAAUGUUGGGUUAUUUGUAUUUGUAUAUGAUUAGUGUUAAAUAAAUAUUGUUUAUAUUUUUGUUUCAUUUUUAUUCCAAUAUAUGAGCAAAAGAACUUAGGUCUAGUUAAAAGCUUAAUUGAAAGAUGCCUUUUCAGGCUGAAGGGAAUAUUUCCUUGAUUGGUUAUCAAGCCCAUGGAAUAUUAGGCCUAUAAGUAGUGCCUUUCUUUCACACAAAAGAUCAUACAUUCAUACCCUGAAAAAUACUCAAAGUUUCUGCAUAUUUGGCUGAAAAAUUGGUUGGAAUGGUCUUUUGGUUUUUCUUGUAGUAAGAACUUAAAAGUAUUUUUUUGAAGGAUUUCUUGUCUUCUAAGACGAAAUGAAGCUGAUUUUUAUGUUGUUUGAGUGAAUUUCUUUUGUUUUUCUUUGUUGUUGAAUCUGCUACUGCUUGCUGCUAAUAGCUGAUUUCUAGCAUAUUUUUGAUUUUGUUUUGUUGUAUCCAGGUAUAUUUUUGAAUCCCUGGAAUGGAAGUGGAUAUAGUGAUACUUGUAACAUUAGAGUUGAUAAUUAAAUGUAAAAUAAAGUUUGAUAAUGAAAUGUUUAAGCUUCAGUUUUCGUUUUAAGUCUGAUUUUUUUUUUCAAGUAGCUUAGUAUGUCGCAAUCUUCUUAGUCUGUUGUUUUUUGUUCAAGUAUUUCUUAUUUGCAUGAUAGUCAACAGUUUAUUUUAAUUGGGAAUCUCACGUGUGAGUGUUUAAGUUAAUUCAUUUUCCCAUGUAUUGUUCAUGCUAACUCUAUUUAGAUAUUUUAUUAAAGGAUAUUGGUUAGUAUCUCAUACAUGUGUGAAAGAUGCAUUGUAUGGCUACUAAAUCACUUCA
Molecule: long non-coding RNA, 2125 nt
Filed under: Nicotiana benthamiana
Lineage: Eukaryota; Viridiplantae; Streptophyta; Magnoliopsida; Solanales; Solanaceae
Description: long non-coding RNA (NBEN_LNC009631)
Source: RNAcentral